CCUACGGGAGGCAGCAGUGGGGAAUAUUGGGCAAUGGGCGCAAGCCUGACCCAGCAACGCCGCGUGAAGGAAGAAGGCUUUCGGGUUGUAAACUUCUUUUCUCAGGGACGAAGAAAGUGACGGUACCUGAGGAAUAAGCCACGGCUAACUACGUGCCAGCAGCCGCGGUAAUACGUAGGUGGCAAGCGUUAUCCGGAUUUAUUGGGUGUAAAGGGCGUGUAGGCGGGAGUGCAAGUCAGAUGUGAAAACCAAGGGCUCAACCCUGGGCCUGCAUUUGAAACUGUGUUUCUUGAGUACUGGAGAGGCAGUCGGAAUGCCGAGUGUAGCGGUGAAAUGCGUAGAUAUCAGGAGGAACACCAGUGGCGAAGGCGGAUUGCUGGACAGCAACUGACGCUGAGGCGCGAAAGCGUGGGGAGCAAACAGGAUUAGAUACCCGGGUAGUC
This 443-nucleotide ribosomal RNA is filed under the name uncultured bacterium. RNAcentral's name for it is "partial 16S ribosomal RNA". It matches the Rfam family "Bacterial small subunit ribosomal RNA", at positions 338 to 795 of the family's 1533-position model. The record is from RNAcentral.